This 495-nucleotide ribosomal RNA is filed under the name uncultured bacterium. Its description in RNAcentral is "partial 16S ribosomal RNA". It matches the Rfam family "Bacterial small subunit ribosomal RNA", at positions 28 to 507 of the family's 1533-position model. The record is from RNAcentral.
GAUGAACGCUGGCGGCGUGCCUAAUACAUGCAAGUAGAACGCUGAAGGAGGAGCUUGCUCUUCUGGAUGAGUUGCGAACGGGUGAGUAACGCGUAGGUAACCUGCCUGGUAGCGGGGGAUAACUAUUGGAAACGAUAGCUAAUACCGCAUGACAACAGUUAUUGCAUGAUAACUGUUUAAAAGGGGCAACUGCUCCACUACCAGAUGGACCUGCGUUGUAUUAGCUAGUUGGUGAGGUAACGGCUCACCAAGGCGACGAUACAUAGCCGACCUGAGAGGGUGAUCGGCCACACUGGGACUGAGACACGGCCCAGACUCCUACGGGAGGCAGCAGUAGGGAAUCUUCGGCAAUGGACGGAAGUCUGACCGAGCAACGCCGCGUGAGUGAAGAAGGUUUUCGGAUCGUAAAGCUCUGUUGUAAGAGAAGAACGAGUGUGAGGGUGGAAAGUUCACACUGUGACGGUAGCUUACCAGAAAGGGACGGCUAACUACGUG